RNAcentral lists this transfer RNA (68 nucleotides) under Opisthoteuthis sp. RNAcentral's name for it is "tRNA-Arg". Lineage: Eukaryota; Metazoa; Mollusca; Cephalopoda; Octopoda; Opisthoteuthidae. The record is from RNAcentral.
UAAUGAGAAAUGAAACUAAUCAUUUAUGGUUUCGACCCAUAAUUCUGGUGUAUAAACACCCUUAUUCA